GAUGAACGCUGGCGGCGUGCCUAAUACAUGCAAGUCGAGCGAACAGAUAAGGAGCUUGCUCCUUUGACGUUAGCGGCGGACGGGUGAGUAACACGUGGGUAACCUACCUAUAAGACUGGGAUAACUUCGGGAAACCGGAGCUAAUACCGGAUAAUAUUUCGAACCGCAUGGUUCGAUAGUGGCAGAUGGUUUUGCUAUCACUUAUAGAUGGACCCGCGCCGUAUUAGCUAGUUGGUAAGGUAACGGCUUACCAAGGCGACGAUACGUAGCCGACCUGAGAGGGUGAUCGGCCACACUGGAACUGAGACACGGUCCAGACUCCUACGGGAGGCAGCAGUAGGGAAUCUUCCGCAAUGGGCGAAAGCCUGACGGAGCAACGCCGCGUGAGUGAUGAAGGUCUUCGGAUCGUAAAACUCUGUUAUUAGGGAAGAACAUACGUGUAAGUAACUGUGCACGUCUUGACGGUACCUAAUCAGAAAGCCACGGCUAACUCCGUG
RNAcentral lists this ribosomal RNA (497 nucleotides) under uncultured bacterium. Its description in RNAcentral is "partial 16S ribosomal RNA". It matches the Rfam family "Bacterial small subunit ribosomal RNA", at positions 28 to 507 of the family's 1533-position model. The record is from RNAcentral.